Pan troglodytes (chimpanzee) is the source of this 154-nucleotide long non-coding RNA. RefSeq lists it as uncharacterized. NCBI's taxonomy places the organism in Eukaryota, Metazoa, Chordata, Mammalia, Primates, Hominidae. The transcript is spliced from 2 exons. The record is from RefSeq and is a predicted model, not a curated record.
GGGAGCGGCCGGGCCCUGGGCGGGGCAGGGCGAGGCUGGAUCUUCGGAACGAGGCCCUGGGAGAGUGGGUUGAGAGAAUGGAAGUGAAGAGGAAGGCUUCACCAUCACCUUAACUAACAUGUGUUUCCUACCGUUAAAUAAACAUUAUAGGAGG